CUGCGGUGGGUGUGUUUCGGCCUGGCCUGGGUAGGCGCUUGUGCUGCCAGGGCGCCGGGCCCGGGUAGGCCGGGGUCUCGGGUGGCCGCCGGCCCAGGCGCUGGACGGCAGCAGGAUGGGGAAGGCGAAGGUCCCCGCCUCUAAGCGCGCCCCGAGCAGCCCCGUGGCUAAGCCGGGUCCUGUCAAGACGCUCACUCGGAAGAAAAACAAGAAGAAAAAAAGGUUUUGGAAAAGCAAGGCGCAGGAAGUAAGCAAGAAGCCAGCAAGCGGCCCCGGUGCUGUGGUGCGACCUCCAAAGGCACCAGAAGACUUUUCUCAAAACUGGAAGGCGCUGCAAGAGGUUCCAAGAUGGACAGGAAGGCGCCAGUACCUCGCACCAAGGCCAGUGGAGCAGAGCACAAUAAGAAAGGAACCAAGGAAAGGACAGAUGGUGAUAUUGUUCCAGAACGAGGGGACAUCGAGCAUAAGAAGCGGAAAGCUAAGGAGGCAGCCCCGGCCCCACCCACCGAGGAAGACAUCUGGUUUGACGACGUGGACCCGGCGGAUAUCGAAGCUGCCAUAGGUCCAGAGGCGGCCAAGAUAGCGAGGAAACAGUUGGGUCAGAGCGAGGGCAGUGUCAGCCUCAGCCUCGUGAAAGAGCAGGCCUUCGGCGGCCUGACAAGAGCCUUAGCCUUGGACUGUGAGAUGGUGGGCGUGGGCCCUAAGGGGGAGGAGAGCGUGGCCGCCCGUGUGUCCAUCGUGAACCAGUAUGGGAAGUGCGUUUAUGACAAGUACGUCAAACCAACCGAGCCCGUGACGGACUAUAGGACAGCGGUCAGUGGGAUUCGGCCUGAGAACCUCAAGCAGG
RNAcentral lists this small RNA (847 nucleotides) under Pan troglodytes (chimpanzee). RNAcentral describes it as "processed transcript". The record is from RNAcentral. Lineage: Eukaryota; Metazoa; Chordata; Mammalia; Primates; Hominidae.